UUGAAGUUGGCACAUUCUGUUUUCUGGGC
RNAcentral lists this non-coding RNA (29 nucleotides) under Rattus norvegicus (Norway rat). Lineage: Eukaryota; Metazoa; Chordata; Mammalia; Rodentia; Muridae. The record is from RNAcentral.